RNAcentral lists this ribosomal RNA (377 nucleotides) under uncultured bacterium. RNAcentral describes it as "bacterial SSU rRNA". It matches the Rfam family "Bacterial small subunit ribosomal RNA", at positions 28 to 421 of the family's 1533-position model. The record is from RNAcentral.
AGCGAACGCUGGCGGAAUGCUUAACACAUGCAAGUCGCACGGCCGUUGGGGGUGACUCUGGCGGCAGUGGCGGACGGGUGCGUAACGCGUAGGAACAUGUCCGGAGGUGGGGGACAACCCUGGGAAACUGGGGCUAAUACCGCAUAUGGGCUGUGGCCCAAAGCCUUUCGGGCGCCUUUGGAGUGGCCUGCGUCCGAUUAGCUAGUUGGUGGGGUAAUGGCUUACCAAGGCGACGAUCGGUAGCUGGUCUGAGAGGACGAUCAGCCACACUGGACUGAGACACGGCCCAGACUCCUACGGGAGGCAGCAGUGGGGAAUAUUGGACAAUGGGCGCAAGCCUGAUCCAGCAAUUCCGCGUGGGUGAAGAAGGUCUUCGG